GGUAGGUGGGAUCAGCUGGUUUGACUGCCGUUACUUACCCCAUUAAGGAGAUUAAACUAGGGGACUUUCAAGCAAGGGGAAUAACCUGAUCAGCUGUUUAUGUUAGCAGAACAUCUCCAGCAGCAGCUGGGAUGAUGAAGCAUCUUCUCUUGGCAAAGAAGAACACCAAAAUCAGAGAGGCCAGUUAGGAGGCUACUGCAAUAUUUCAGGGUCAGCCCAAGAAGCAGGAAGCAGCAGUGCAGGGAGAAAAGAGUACUGGAUUUAGAGUCAGACACCCAGGUUCAAGUUCUAGUUUGCAGUUCAUAGAAGCAGUCUUCCCAGCUUGAUUUUAUUCACAGAAGAAAAAAGGCACCCCUGGGAAGUGCCUGACAAAAGCUUGAAGAGAGAAGAGGCUCUGCUGUGGUUUGAAUGCGUCCCCCAAAGUUCAUGUGUUGGAAACUUGAUCCCCGAUGCAGCAGUACUGGGAGGAUGCCCUUUGCCAUGUUAUGAUCCUGCAGGAAGACCCUCACCAGAUAUGGCCCCUUGAUCUUGGACUUCCCAGCCUCCAGAAUUGACUGGAGUGUCAUAUCUCAGCUUCUCGCCCCUUGAUCUCCAUAUGCCUGGCAAUCUGGAGCUCAGCAGUCCGGAGCUGGUAUAAUGACUCCAUCGUCCUUCUGUCUUGGUCCUUUUGAGUGUGGCUCCAUCAUCCUCAAUGGAAUAAACAAGGAACACCGCUGCUCUGCUCAUUGUGGUCAUGAGUUACAGGGCCCUGGAGAAGCGUGUUGAGGUACUACGGAGUCUUGAUUUCAAUGUGCCAUGUGUGUACUAUGUGUGCUUCUAUAUAACAUGUAUGUAGACUUGGAAGCUUUUCAAACGAAGCUAUAGCUGGACUAGUCAUGUUACAUUUCCCUAAGGCCAAAACCUAAAAUUGACAGCUUUCACUUUGUGUUACAGAAUAAAACCAAGCAAUCAGGACUAGGCAGACCCCUGCCACACAGCUACUUGCUGAUAUCAAUUACUUAGCCUAAUUAUCUUGACAAAGUAUACUAUUCAUUUAAAUCUUUCAUUUUCUGAGACCAUAAUAACAACAGGGACUACAGAAAAAAGUGAUCAUGCCAUCUAGGAAUAACUAAUAUAUAAGAUGUUGAGUUUUGGUCAGAGUCCAGCAUAUAUCCAAGGCCUUAAGACUAAGAAGAUUUGAAAAGUAGUUUAGAGGAAGUUGAAAAUAUAGCUUUAUGAAGAGAGAGCAUUGCCUAAGAGAGAUGGUGGGCUCUAAAAAUGAAAUUCUGACCAUGUUAUGAUAAAUAAAUGUGGAAAUAAGGACAUGAGUAAGACUGCCCAGAAAUCCUCUGAUGAGUUUAGAUUUUGAAAGAAUACAUAUAUAAAGCAAGGAAGGUCAUAUAACCAAGGUCACAAAUUGUGAAAUGUCUAAGAAAAUUGUCAGAAUCGUUAAUGUGCUCAUAAGCCAAAGCUUACAACAGUGACAAAAGCAAUAAAACCAAUCGUUUCAACUCUGUUUAUAUCACUGAUGUGAACAAGAAAGUAAAAUGUACAAUACUGGAGAUGACAGUACAAUGCUAAUAGAUGAGAGAAACAGUUCCAUUGAGGAAAAUUAUUUUCAAAACUUAAACGUCAAGUAUGGGUUAAAGGGGACACAAAUUUCUAGAAAAGGGAGGGCUGCUUAAAUGAAUCCUACCCUCAUUUCCAGAGGAAUCUAAAGGAACUCCUAGGCAUGAUUGUGAGGUAACCAUUGAAUCGAGGACAAACAGAAAUAUGUCGAAAGACAAACAAAACAGAGUCGCUUUGGGUUUACAAAAGGUUGGAGAUUGGGGGUUUGGAAGCAAAUUCUAGAAACAGUAAAUAAAUAAGUAGACAUGAUGUUAUUAUAUUGCAAAAUUCCAGAGAGGACAAUAAAAGAGGUGGCUUGUGGACCUCACAAAACAAAAUGAUGAUCAGUAGGAUCUAGUGAGUAUUCAUAAUGAAAGUCCAUUCCAAAUGGGCUUUCAGUAAAAUAGAUAGAUUAUCUUUUUAGUAAGGUAAAUAGAUGAGCAGAUGUGGGCACAUGCCAUAACCAUGGCACAGAAGAACUGUAAGAUAGCCCCCUUAGAAACUUGAAAUGCAGUUGUUAAAGGUAUGCCAUGCAGGACUUUCUUUCCUUUUUAAAGAAUAAUUUAAUUUUUUAUUAUAUAAGCCAUAUUUUUUAAGUACGUGGACACAGUAUUUCCUUGACUGUAAGAUGUAAUUUAUUGUAAGAUAAUCUAUUAAUUUAAAUAUAGCUUUUUGGGUUGUAAAAAAUAUUUAUAUUAAGUGUAUGAUUUAUCCUCAUUUUGGAAUCACUGAAAUAUAAAAAAAAACAACCUUAGAAUUGAGGAAAUACAUACACAUAUACAAGAACACAUUUACAGAGUUGAAAUCAUACAUUUUGUUCAGUUGGCAUUUUAUUGUAGUUCUUGAUCCCCAUGUCAUAAAAAACUCUAUAAACAUAAUUUCUAGUAAAUCAGUUACAUAUUAUAACUCAUUUAAUUACUACUUUAUUCUGAAAUUUUUUAUUGUUUUUCUUAUAAAAUUGCAAUUUACUUUUCAAAAAUAUUUAUCUGCAUUUCUGAUUAUUUCCUUGGGGUACAUUUCCAGAAGUGGAAUUUUUGAAUGAAACAAUACAUUAUGUUUUAAAGAUUCUUGAUACACACAGUACCAAACUACUUCUCAGAAAGCUUGUACCAAUUCACACUGCCGCUAGCACUUGUUUGAAUGAGGACCCAUCUUACCGGCAUUCAAAAUGUUCUUUCCUUUUCAAAUUCUUUGUUGAUUUAGCAGGGGGAGAAAAAUCUAAUUUUAAUUUGGUUUGAAUUUCAUUAACUACAUAUUUAAUAUUGAAUAUUUUUAUAUGAACAUUAUUGUUUAUGGUUCUUCUGUGAAUUGUCUGUUCUUCCCUUUUAUUCAUUUUUCUAAUGAUAAUUUAUU
Molecule: long non-coding RNA, 2940 nt
Organism: Homo sapiens (human)
Lineage: Eukaryota; Metazoa; Chordata; Mammalia; Primates; Hominidae
Product: long intergenic non-protein coding RNA 1877
Source: Ensembl